RNAcentral lists this long non-coding RNA (1156 nucleotides) under Nicotiana tabacum (common tobacco). RNAcentral's name for it is "long non-coding RNA (NTAB_LNC000027)". Lineage: Eukaryota; Viridiplantae; Streptophyta; Magnoliopsida; Solanales; Solanaceae. The record is from RNAcentral.
AUAAUGCAAGAAGAUACAUUUCAAAUUCAUCAGCUCAUACCCCAUAAAGUUGGUGACAAUAGGUUCGUAACUAGAGGAGUAUUAACACUUGCUCUGCAUUUAUUUGAAAUAUAAAUUAAACAUAAAGACUAUACAAAAUGCUCUUUUUGUUCUUUUCUGCCUUUCCUUCUCAUAAUAUCUCAUUUCCAAUUUACAACGUAGCAACUCUUGUUGUCUUGAUGUCCUUUAGAUAAGUGCAGCCCAAAUGCUCCAACCUGUAAAUAUAUCAACAGAUUAUAAAUAGUCCAUAUUUUGUCAACCUACUCUUGAUGCACAAGCAUGUAAAGAAUACACAGAUACAUGCAAAAAUUAACUUGUGCGACGACUGAAUUUUUUUAGGAAGUUGGUGUAAUAAUGCAGGCCCCUCAACCCUUCCCCACAUCGCCAUGACAAAAAGAAGUAUGGAAAAGAAAAAUCAAAAUUGAGAAAAGUACUGGUAUACUCCUGCCGAUCUGUUUGUUUCUAAAGUACUUGGUUUGACUAAAAUCAGAGAAUCACUAGCCCAAGAUCUGACAAAUAAAAUUCUUAGUCUGCAAAAGUUGAUGUAACAGUCAUACUCAUUCUAGAAAAAGUAUGACAUACAUUCUCUGAAUUGUUUCGUCCUGCUAAUUUCAUUCAUAUUUCUAGAACAAAUACAUAUAUAGGAAUAUUUGUAAUCACCAAGUAGCUAUUCUACUGCUCUAUAGUCUUGUCAACACGAUGAUUACGUACGGUCUGAUGGUUUCCUUGUUAAUAUGAAGUUAAAUCCCGAAAUAUGUGCAUUUGGCGUUGCAUCAGGCAAGUUUUUGGGUUUUCUUGUUUCUAACCGUGGAAUUGAAGUAAAUCCUGCACAGAUUAAAGCCAUUCAGGAAAUCCCUGAUAUACUUUCAAACAAGAAAGAAGUUCAAAGAUUAGCAGGGAGAAUUGCGGCCUUGGGAAGAUUCAUCUCUAAAUCAUCAGAGAAGUGUUUUAAAUUCUUCUCAGCCCUUAAGAAGCAGGAUCAUUUUGAAUGGAAUGAGAAAUGUCAACAAGCACUUAGGAAUUUGAAAACGUACUUAUCAAAUCCACCUUUGUUGGCAAAACCAAAGGCUGGGGAAAAGCUACUCCUCUACCUUGCUGUUUCGGAAGUGGCGGUAAG